Molecule: transfer RNA, 126 nt
Filed under: Aspergillus parasiticus
Lineage: Eukaryota; Fungi; Ascomycota; Eurotiomycetes; Eurotiales; Aspergillaceae
Also listed under: 2 other names
Rfam family: tRNA
About the family: Transfer RNA (tRNA) molecules are approximately 80 nucleotides in length. Their secondary structure includes four short double-helical elements and three loops (D, anti-codon, and T loops).
Source: Rfam by way of RNAcentral
GUCAGUGUGGCCGAGUGGUUAAGGCGCUAGACUUGAACUAUAGCAUAUAGUAAUUUAAUUCAUUACUAUAUAGAGAUAGUAUAUCUAGUACAUUCGUGUUCGUAGGUUCAAAUCCUGCCGCUGACG